RNAcentral lists this ribosomal RNA (616 nucleotides) under uncultured Arthrobacter sp. Its description in RNAcentral is "bacterial SSU rRNA". It matches the Rfam family "Bacterial small subunit ribosomal RNA", at positions 262 to 887 of the family's 1533-position model. The record is from RNAcentral. Lineage: Bacteria; Bacillati; Actinomycetota; Actinomycetes; Micrococcales; Micrococcaceae.
GGAUCCUAAACGCGACGACGGGUAGCCGGCCUGAGAGGGUGACCGGCCACACUGGGACUGAGACACGGCCCAGACUCCUACGGGAGGCAGCAGUGGGGAAUAUUGCACAAUGGGCGAAAGCCUGAUGCAGCGACGCCGCGUGAGGGAUGACGGCCUUCGGGUUGUAAACCUCUUUCAGUAGGGAAGAAGCGAAAGUGACGGUACCUGCAGAAGAAGCGCCGGCUAACUACGUGCCAGCAGCCGCGGUAAUACAUAGGGCGCAAGCGUUAUCCGGAUUUAUUGGGCGUAAAGAGCUCGUAGGCGGUUUGUCGCGUCUGCCGUGAAAGUCCGAGGCUCAACCUCGGAUCUGCGGUGGGUACGGGCAGACUAGAGUGAUGUAGGGGAGACUGGAAUUCCUGGUGUAGCGGUGAAAUGCGCAGAUAUCAGGAGGAACACCGAUGGCGAAGGCAGGUCUCUGGGCAUCUACUGACGCUGAGGAGCGAAAGCAUGGGGAGCGAACAGGAUUAGAUACCCUGGUAGUCCAUGCCGUAAACGUUGGGCACUAGGUGUGGGGAACAUUCCACGUUUUCCGCGCCGUAGCUAACGCAUUAAGUGCCCCGCCUGGGGGAGUACGGAA